RNAcentral lists this transfer RNA (73 nucleotides) under Citrobacter sp. RNAcentral describes it as "tRNA-Asn". It matches the Rfam family "tRNA". Rfam says of the family: Transfer RNA (tRNA) molecules are approximately 80 nucleotides in length. Their secondary structure includes four short double-helical elements and three loops (D, anti-codon, and T loops). The record is from RNAcentral. Lineage: Bacteria; Pseudomonadati; Pseudomonadota; Gammaproteobacteria; Enterobacterales; Enterobacteriaceae.
UCCUCUGUAGUUCAGUCGGUAGAACGGCGGACUGUUAAUCCGUAUGUCACUGGUUCGAGUCCAGUCAGCGGGC